CGUUAGCGGCGGACGGGUGAGUAACACGUGGAUAACCUACCUAUAAGACUGGGAUAACUUCGGGAAACCGGAGCUAAUACCGGAUAAUAUAUUGAACCGCAUGGUUCAAUAGUGAAAGACGGUUUUGCUGUCACUUAUAGAUGGAUCCGCGCCGCAUUAGCUAGUUGGUAAGGUAACGGCUUACCAAGGCAACGAUGCGUAGCCGACCUGAGAGGGUGACCGGCCACAUUGGGACUGAGAUACGGCCCAG
RNAcentral lists this ribosomal RNA (250 nucleotides) under uncultured Staphylococcus sp. RNAcentral's name for it is "partial 16S ribosomal RNA". It matches the Rfam family "Bacterial small subunit ribosomal RNA", at positions 90 to 334 of the family's 1533-position model. Lineage: Bacteria; Bacillati; Bacillota; Bacilli; Caryophanales; Staphylococcaceae. The record is from RNAcentral.